RNAcentral lists this ribosomal RNA (219 nucleotides) under uncultured bacterium. RNAcentral's name for it is "partial 16S ribosomal RNA". It matches the Rfam family "Bacterial small subunit ribosomal RNA", at positions 112 to 334 of the family's 1533-position model. The record is from RNAcentral.
AAUGUCUGGGAAACUGCCCGAUGGAGGGGGAUAACUACUGGAAACGGUAGCUAAUACCGCAUAACGUCGCAAGACCAAAGAGGGGGACCUUCGGGCCUCUUGCCAUCGGAUGUGCCCAGAUGGGAUUAGCUAGUAGGUGGGGUAACGGCUCACCUAGGCGACGAUCCCUAGCUGGUCUGAGAGGAUGAUCAGCCACACUGGGACUGAGACACGGCCCAG